Molecule: long non-coding RNA, 517 nt
Organism: Gossypium raimondii (Peruvian cotton)
Lineage: Eukaryota; Viridiplantae; Streptophyta; Magnoliopsida; Malvales; Malvaceae
Exons: 3
Source: RefSeq, a predicted model, not a curated record
GAAAGAAUAGAAAGGAGAAAGAACAGAAUAGAAACAGAGAAAGAAACAGAGAGCAAAACGGGCAGAGAAGGAAGAAAGGAAAGAAAGAAAGAAAGAAAAAGAAAAAGGGAAAUUUCAGGUUUUAAGGUUCCAAGCUCAAUUGCUAAUGUCGUGUACGAGUCAUUGUCCGAGAAAGGAAAGGAGAAGGUGGACAAGGAUUGACUCGGGAGAAAUUUCGAUUGUCAGAAAUUAUGCAAUCGGUUGGAUCCCGUCGGAGCUCACACUAUCCUCUUAAUGACUUGGUAGACUUUUGAUCGUUCUAGCUCGGUUAUAAGUGGCAUGUAAAUAGGUGUAGUUGGAUAGAUGUUUAUAGGAGAUUUGAGGCUUUUAUUUUGGUCUCCUUGAUGUGUAUUUUGAGGUCAGUCGAACUUUGUAAAUAUAUGUGUUAUGUGGUGCUUUGAAUAUGCUUAAAUGGUUAAGUGAUGACUCUUUAAUAUGGAAAUGGUAUGGUUGUUGAAUAUGAUUUAAUGUGAUAGCA